Bufo bufo (common toad) is the source of this 143-nucleotide long non-coding RNA. RefSeq lists it as uncharacterized. Lineage: Eukaryota; Metazoa; Chordata; Amphibia; Anura; Bufonidae. The transcript has 3 exons. The record is from RefSeq and is a predicted model, not a curated record.
AUACACCCAGACUCCAGGGGAGGGAAGGGAGGGCAAUAUUCGCCUCCGUGUCUUUAAUAAAAUCAUGACUUUACGUCAUAAACUAGGAAAAUCAUUAAAUUUUAUAACAAGACACGGAGGCUUCAUAUUGCUAGUUUAAAGCU